GCGGGUUUAGUUAAAUGGUAGACGGCAGCUUCCCAAGCUGCAUACGAGGUUUCGAUUCCCUUCACCCGCCC
RNAcentral lists this transfer RNA (71 nucleotides) under Hyphomicrobiales bacterium. RNAcentral's name for it is "tRNA-Gly". It matches the Rfam family "tRNA". From Rfam's summary of the family: Transfer RNA (tRNA) molecules are approximately 80 nucleotides in length. Their secondary structure includes four short double-helical elements and three loops (D, anti-codon, and T loops). Lineage: Bacteria; Pseudomonadati; Pseudomonadota; Alphaproteobacteria; Hyphomicrobiales. The record is from RNAcentral.